AUACGGGAGGCAGCAGUAAGGAAUAUUGCGCAAUGGGCGACAGCCUGACGCAGCGACGCCGCGUGGGGGAUGAAGGUCUUCGGAUUGUAAACCCCUUUCGGCAGGGAAGAUGGAACGGGUAACCGUUCGGACGGUACCUGCAGAAGCAGCCACGGCUAACUUCGUGCCAGCAGCCGCGGUAAUACGAAGGUGGCAAGCGUUGUUCGGAUUUACUGGGCGUACAGGGAGCGUAGGCGGUUGGGUAAGCCCUCCGUGAAAUCUCCGGGCCUAACCCGGAAAGUGCGGAGGGGACUGCUCGGCUAGAGGAUGGGAGAGGAGCGCGGAAUUCCCGGUGUAGCGGUGAAAUGCGUAGAGAUCGGGAGGAAGGCCGGUGGCGAAGGCGGCGCUCUGGAACAUUUCUGACGCUGAGGCUCGAAAGCGUGGGGAGCAAACAGGAUUAGAUACCCCGGUAGC
This 453-nucleotide ribosomal RNA is filed under the name uncultured bacterium. RNAcentral's name for it is "bacterial SSU rRNA". It matches the Rfam family "Bacterial small subunit ribosomal RNA", at positions 339 to 794 of the family's 1533-position model. The record is from RNAcentral.